GAAUCUUGCGCAAUGGGCGAAAGCCUGACGCAGCGAUGCCGCGUGAGCGAUGAAGGCCUUCGGGUUGUAAAGCUCUGUGGAUGGAGACGAAUAAGUGUUGGUUAAUACCCAGCAUGAUGACGGUAUCCAUUUAGCAAGCACCGGCUAACUCUGCUCCAGCAGCCGCGGUAAUACAGAGGGUGCAACCGUUGUUCGGAAUUACUGGGCGGAAAGCGCGUGUAGGCGGCUUUGUAAGUCGGAUGUGAAAUCCCGCGGCUCAACCGUGGAAGUGCACUCGAAACUGCAAGGCUAGAGUAUCGGAGAGGAAGGUGGAAUGCUUGGUGUAGAGGUGAAAUUCGUAGAUAUCAAGCGGAACACCGGUGGCGAAGGCGGCCUUCUGGACGAUUACUGACGCUGAGACGCGAAAGCGUGGGUAGCAAACAGG
This 424-nucleotide ribosomal RNA is filed under the name uncultured bacterium. RNAcentral's name for it is "bacterial SSU rRNA". It matches the Rfam family "Bacterial small subunit ribosomal RNA", at positions 359 to 776 of the family's 1533-position model. The record is from RNAcentral.